This 342-nucleotide ribosomal RNA is filed under the name uncultured bacterium. Its description in RNAcentral is "bacterial SSU rRNA". It matches the Rfam family "Bacterial small subunit ribosomal RNA", at positions 569 to 913 of the family's 1533-position model. The record is from RNAcentral.
GCGUAGGUGGGCUAGUAAGUCCGUGGUGAAAUCUCCGAGCUUAACUUGGAAACUGCCGUGGAUACUAUUAGUCUUGAAUAUUGUGGAGGUAAGCGGAAUAUGUCAUGUAGCGGUGAAAUGCUUAGAUAUGACAUAGAACACCGAUAGCGAAGGCAGCUUGCUACACAAUCAUUGACACUGAGGCACGAAAGCGUGGGGAUCAAACAGGAUUAGAUACCCUGGUAGUCCACGCCCUAAACGAUGGAUACUCGACAUACGCGAUACACAGUGUGUGUCUGAGCGAAAGCAUUAAGUAUCCCACCUGGGAAGUACGACCGCAAGGUUGAAACUCAAAGGAAUUGG